GGUUAAGCGACUAAGCGUACACGGUGGAUGCCCUGGCAGUCAGAGGCGAUGAAGGACGUGCUAAUCUGCGAAAAGCGCCGGCGAGGUGAUAUGAACCCUUGACCCGGCGAUGUCCGAAUGGGGAAACCCAGUGCAAUU
Molecule: ribosomal RNA, 138 nt
Filed under: Enterobacter hormaechei
Lineage: Bacteria; Pseudomonadati; Pseudomonadota; Gammaproteobacteria; Enterobacterales; Enterobacteriaceae
Description: partial 23S ribosomal RNA
Rfam family: Bacterial large subunit ribosomal RNA
Source: RNAcentral